UAUAUAUAUAUAUAUCCAUAUAAGUGAAUGGGAAAAUGAGAUAAUCCUUGUAGAAGAAAAAAUAUGCUUUUCCUUUGCACAAAAAAAGUAUGUACGUAGAAAGAAGUUGUCUUUUGCAAGAAAACUAUCACAUCGUCUUUAACCAAUAGCUCCUCCCUCUCUCUCUCUCUCUCUCUCUCUCUCUCUCUCUCUCACUCUCACACACACACAUUUUCCCAAGAAGUCCUUUUCCAUCUGUCACCAAAAGGAAAUGUAAAAGAAAGGAUUUGCUGGUCCUUCUAUAAAAUCAAAAGAGUUCAGGAUAUCUCCAGAGAUGAUCUUACAUAAUUUGGGACUAGAUUCAAAUCCUUAGCUUAUUAACUCUAGAUGCCAUUUAAGGAACAAAUGCACUUUUUCAAACUGUUUACUUUUUUUGUAUUAAGUGUAUCAAGCAACAUGAUGAAUAAAAAGUGAGAUUAAAAAAGAGUUUGAAAUCCUAUAUAAAGGGGACUCCUCCUUCAUUUGAGGACUUUUGAAAUCUUCUACUUAAUCUUCUUCUCCUUAUUCCUCUCCCUUAUUCUAGCCAUAUUUAUUGGAUAACCUUCGCAUCUCAGCCACCUUAGAGAGGAAAAGCAUAAAAAGUAGAGAGAUAAGCUUAUUGAGUCAAGUGUGAGUUAAAAUUUGUACUCCUGAAUUUUAACCUUGUGGCGGUAAAGCCACUUUUGUUGAUUGAAGUAGAAAGGUAGCAAGAUAGAGGACAAAUUCAAUUUGAACUCUACUAACUUAGGAGAAUUUAAUUUCAAUUUGAAUUCCACCGAAAGAGAAUUCAAAUUCAAGUUGAACUCUACCUAAGAAGAAUUCAAUUUCAAUUUAAACUUUACUACCCAUAUGCAUCUAUAAAUAUGCACAUCUUCUCAUUUGAAAAUCAUCCCAUUUUGAAGAAGGGCUCAAUUCAUUCUCAUGUAGAAGCCAAAUCUAUUAUUGGUGUGAGAAACAGAGAGAAAGAAGGAGAAUAUUAAAGAGAGAGAGUUAGAAAUGGUCUUUCCUAAAUAUUUGUGUCUUUCCUUUGUAUUACAUUUCUUGGCAUGAGAAGCAAAGAGAGAGUAGGAGAAUAUUAGAGAGAUAAUGAAGAAAAGGUUUCUCCUAAAUAUUCGUGUCUUUCCUUUGUGAGAAAUAGAAAGGGAGAAAAUAAGAGUAUUAGAGAGAGAAAAAAAGUCUUUCCUAAAUAUGUGUUUCUUUCCUUUGUAAAGAGAGUGUGUUUUCUCCUAUUAUAAGAUAUAGGGUAUUGUCAAUUAUGCUCUUCUUAUUUUAAAGAGAAAUUAUUACUUAUAUUCUUUUGCUAUAAUGAAAUCUUUCUACAAUUGCCAAUUAUUUGUGUGUAUUUUUAUUUGAGUAUUUUACAUGCAAAUUUCUCAUUUUUAUAAUUUCGACUUUAGCUGUAAUUGUGUGCCAUACAACACAAUUUCCUAACAGUGGUAUCAGAGCCUGGUUCGUAGGUAUCUGCAACAAUGGCGGUGAAGUACGAAAAAAAAUAAAAUUCAAUGGGAAUAAUUUCUCAUUAUGGUAAAUGAGAAUGAAAGCAGUUUUAAGAAAAGAUAACUGCUUGGUGGCAAUUGAAGAAAGGCCCACGGAGAUCGUCGAUGACAACAAGUGGAAUGAGAUGGAUGGCAAUGCUAUUGCUAAUCUGCACCUAGCACUAGCCGAUGAAGUUUUGUUAAACGUGGCAGAAAAAAAGAAGGCAAAAGAAAUAUGGGACACUCUUAAAGAAAAAUCUAUUGUCUUUGGAACAAUUAGAUAAUAAUGGUUGCAAAACCCAUAUUCAAGAUGGGAUCAUGAAUAUAAUUAAAGGCGUGCUUGUGGUGAUGAAAGCGGAAAAGAUAGCUGUAAAUCUGUACAUGUUUAAAGGAGAAACAUAACAAGAAGGAGAAGCAUCUAUAGCGUCGGCAAGCUCUGCAAAAGAAGCAACGAUAAUGUGGCACCGUAACCUUGGCCAUACGUUGGAAUGAGGUCUGAAGAUUCUUACUGAACAAAAGCUUCUUUCAAGGCUCAAAAAUUUUUCAUUACCAUUUUGUGAGCAUUGUGUUAUUAGUAAGCAGCACAGAUUAAAAUUUAGCAGUUCUAAUGCUAGAAGCAAAGCUAUCUUAGAGUUGAUCUACUCUUUUUUUGGCAAGCACCAGUUCUGUCCCUAGGAGGUGCAAGAUAUUUUGUAUCUUUUAUUGAUUACUCCAGGAGAUGUUGGGUGUAUCCAAUCAAAAGGAAAGCAGAUGUAUUUUCAGUUUUCAAAAUAUUCAAAGCGAGGUUGAAACUUGUAUCUGAAAAGAAGAUCAAGUGUUUGAGAAUGGAAAAUGGAGGAGAAUAUACUGGUGAAGAAUUUGAUAGCCUUUGUGUAACAGUCCAGACCACCCGCAUGCGAUAUUGUCCGCUUUGGCAAGGGCCCGCACGGUUUUGCUCUUCCUGACCUCAAUACAACGGUGGGUCACAGGAAAAGGCCUCGCAAGGGAAAGGUAUCCACACCCACUUAUAUGGUAUGCUUCGUUCCCCUUUCCAACCGAUGUGGGAUGUUACACUCUGUCAAUAAGAAGGUAUCAAGAGGCAGUUGUGGUGUACACUCCACAGUAAAAUGGAGUAAUAGAGCAGAUGAAUAGAAUCUUGUUGGAACAGACAAGAGUGAUGUUGAGAACGGCAGGGAUGGCCAAGUCAUUUUGGAUAGAAGCAGUUAAAACCGCCUGCUAUGUGAUCAAUCAGUCACCAUCGAUCACAAUUGUUCUGAAAACACAGAUGGAGAUGUGGAUUGAUAAGCCCGCUGAUUAUUCUCGCUUACAUAUCUUUGGAAGUCUUGUUUUUGUUAAUAAGUGUUUUAUAAAAUAAGUAAUAAAAUGUUUCACUAUGUACAAUGAAAAGUACUUCUAAAUUUAUUUUUAAUAUUUUAAUUAAUGUAUUUAAUAUCUAUAUUUUUAAAUCUUGACAACAUGUAUUUGAAGAAGUACCAUCUUUUAAAAGCAACUUUAGUGCCUUUUUUUUUUUUCUUUUUGUUUUUUUUGUUUUUGUUGUUCAAAAAAAUACUUUUUAGUUUUUUGUCAAACAUAAUCACAAAUAUAUAUUGUUUUUGGUUCUUGAAAGCACUUAUUAAAGCUUCAAAAACAUAUCCAAUUAUGCUCUAAAGUAAUAUUUUCAUUGAUCUUGAAAAGAAAAAAAACUGAAUUAUUUACAUGGGACUAAAAAUUAAUAUAAAAGAAAAAGGAAGAGAAGAAAUUCCUAGUUUUCUAUGUUAUAUUUUCAGUUUACAUAUUCUUAACCGUACACCGUAACAUCCAAAAUAAGUUGUUUUUUUUUUUAAUUUUUUUUUAAAUUUUCAUUAUUUAACUUGUUAUAAUCUACUGUACAAAAAAAGAAAAAAAAAAGAAAAAAAAGAAAAAAAGGAACCAGGUUAUAAACUCUCAAAAUGACCUUAGCCGAAGCAAUUAAAUGAGUUAGUUUUAUUACAUACGAUGAACAUUCUCAUGUCAUGUCUGCAUCAAUGCUUAAUUUGGUAUUUUCCAUAUAAUGUCUCUGUUUUAUUUAUUUAUUUAUUAGUCUUUCCCUGAUCUCUUUAACCCUUGGUAGAAGGAAAGUGGAAAAUGCAAAUCAAAUAAACAACAUAACUAGAUUAUAUACGACCCAAAUCCUAAACUGCUACAUAUACUUCUUGACUUUUAAGAGCAAUCCAAUACUUAUGUGAAACAGCUUUUACUGGAUGUUACUUUAAACCAAAUAUUAACUUUCUUCAAAUUUUGACCUCUUCUCUUAAUGUUUUGCAGAUUUUAGUCGCAUGACAUCCGUACAUAAUGCUACUGAUUCACCAUUAGAAGACAUAUACGACUAUAUACAAGUAGGAGGAGGCACAGCAGGGUGCCCAUUGGCCUAUCAGAAAAAUAUCUGUUUCUUGUUCUUGAAAGAGGCAGUGCCCCUGCUCAUAUUAUUUGAAAGAGACGUGGAAAAAAAUCAUCUUCUCUUCCAAUGCACCACGUGACUAGUGUAAUAUUAUUUGAUGAAAUCUAUGUCUCUGUGUUUUCCUCUGUUCUGCCAUUAACAAACUCAAACGCAGGUUUUUCUGCAACUGGAGUCAUAUAUAUUGAUACGAAAGGCAGGACUCAUCGGGCAUUUAUAAGACAUGUGAGGUGGUACUGAGUGCGGGGCCAAUUGGGAGCCUCCAACUUCUUCUUCUCCGCGGAGUUGGACCAGUUCAUCAUCUUUCUUCACUGCAUAUACCGAUUGUUUACUCAAAUCCUGACGUGGGAAAUUUUAUGGCCGACAAUCCUCGUAAUAACAUCAACAUUGUAGGUCCAUUUGCAUUGGACUCAUCAACUGCACAGGUGGUAGGAAGUACCAGUGACUUCAAUAUUGCAGAGGCUAUGUCCCUCAAUUUGCCAUUUUCUUUUCCUCAAGCUUUUGGCCUGUUUCCAAACUCCAAACUCCACUUCUCCUUUACAAUUCAGUUUGGAAAACAUUGUUCAGAAGUUCUCCGGAUCUAAGUCCACCGCUUCCCUCCAGUUGCUGUCAUCCGCCAAAGUGAAGCUUUACGGUUCAACUUCUUUUCUGAAGCAGUGGACCUUGCUCGUUGUGUUAAAGGAACGAGGGAGGUUGGUGAUUUGCUGAAGAAAAAGUUCCUGGAACAACUAAAGUUUCAAGUUCCUGGAACGACUAAAGUUUCAGGAUUUGGAGGGUACAGAAGAUUUCAAGUUUUUAUGACCACCUUUGCCGAAGAAUCAGUCUGAUGAUGCAUCAAUGGUGACGUUUUGUCGAAGCACGAUGCCGAACUUCUGGCAUUUCCAUGGUGGAUGCUUGGUGUGAAAAGUGGUAGAUGGUGAUUAUCUGGUGAAGGGUACAAAUUCACUUCGUGUGGUAGAUGGAUCCACAGUCAAUGCCUCACCGGGGACCAAUCCGCAGGCCACUGUUAUGAUGAUAGGCCGGUACGUUGGGCUUAAGAUUCUGCAGGAAAGAAAAGCAGCAAAGUAUGUGGAUACGACAUUGUGAUCAAUAUCAUGUUUUCAAUGAAUUCGAAAUAGUAAAAUAAAUCGAGGAAUAAUAAAUUUGUUAAACGACCGUUUCCAUGUGUGAUGAGUUUGUUUUGUAAUUCUUUGUUGUGUCUACAUUUAAUUAAUCUAUAAGACUAGGUUGUGAUAUGCUUCACUUGCUGCAA
This is a long non-coding RNA of Ziziphus jujuba (common jujube), 5158 nucleotides long. RefSeq lists it as uncharacterized. The record is from RefSeq and is a predicted model, not a curated record. The transcript is spliced from 2 exons. Lineage: Eukaryota; Viridiplantae; Streptophyta; Magnoliopsida; Rosales; Rhamnaceae.